CAGUCCACGGUAAUACGUAGGUGGCAAGCGUUGUCCGGAAUUAUUGGGCGUAAAGGGCUCGCAGGCGGUUUCUUAAGUCUGAUGUGAAAGCCCCCGGCUCAACCGGGGAGGGUCAUUGGAAACUGGGAAACUUGAGUGCAGAAGAGGAGAGUGGAAUUCCACGUGUAGCGGUGAAAUGCGUAGAGAUGUGGAGGAACACCAGUGGCGAAGGCGACUCUCUGGUCUGUAACUGACGCUGAGGAGCGAAAGCGUGGGGAGCGAACAGGAUUAGAUACCCCCGUAGUCCCUGUCUCUUAUACAC
RNAcentral lists this ribosomal RNA (301 nucleotides) under uncultured bacterium. RNAcentral describes it as "partial 16S ribosomal RNA". It matches the Rfam family "Bacterial small subunit ribosomal RNA", at positions 509 to 809 of the family's 1533-position model. The record is from RNAcentral.